Molecule: non-coding RNA, 1128 nt
Organism: Equus caballus (horse)
Lineage: Eukaryota; Metazoa; Chordata; Mammalia; Perissodactyla; Equidae
Source: RefSeq, a predicted model, not a curated record
CCCGGCCCGCCCCACAGAGCUACCUGUGGCCAGUUUCCCGAGCCGUCCCAACCUGCAGGUGCGCAGGCCAGGCCAUUGCCCUGAACACGUCCCCCGAAAGAGAGGCGUGGCUUCCUGGGGAAGAUCUGAGGGCAGGGUCCCACCUAGACGUGGCUGGUGAAGCUGCCCACAGCCCCCAGACAUGAAGCUGUCCAGAGCAAGAACGAACACGAGCCCGCCGUCCAGCGCAUGGAAGAGGACCCAGCCCGCCUGUCUGACCCAGCGCAGCUCGGCACCGGGUGACACCCGGUCACCACGGGGAUGAUGUGGGCUGCGUCCUGCCCAAGAUGACCUGGCCCGUCACCACAUCCAUCACAUGCUCGGUGACCGUUGUGGGCUGAACCCCCAGCGUGGAGAGGGUGGCGGAGUGCAUGUCACACCCUCAAGCUCCCACUUUCACUUUCACAUGGGAUUUGGAGCCUCAGGGCCAAGCGAAUAAGAAAAAGAGAAGGAUGGCUGAGGUCUCACUUUGCUACAAGGCGGGAGGCUGCCUGCCCUCGGAGUUCCGGGGGAGCUGCCCUGAGAAGGCCUGGCCCUCCGUCCCUAGCAACAAUCUGUGUUUAGUAAAUAAACAGCGUGGCGCCAGCUCCACCCGCCCUGUGCUGCUAACCUCCCUGCCAUCUGGGCCCCCACCCCCACCCCUGCCCUUCCCAGAGUCAAGGCAGAGCUGAGCUCCAGCUCUGAGGGAGAGCAGCUUCCUGCAGGGAUCUGAGCUUCUGGGAUCCCGAGCCUUGCCAGGUUCAUUUUGCCUCGGGCCAUAACACAGGGUCUCCAGAGUAAACCAAGCCCCACCAGAUUCCAGGCCCUUCCACACCAUGGACCCUGCGGAUCAGACAGCUGAGCCAGCCAGGACUGGUGUGCUCUCAGAGGCCGUCAGGACACAGACACGCACAGAGGGACGACUGUGUGAGGACACAGAGGCCGCAGCAUCUAACGCCAAGGGAUGUGGAGCCACCUGGAGCCACCAGAGCUGGAAGAAGGGCCUGGAAGAGACCCUCCCCCAGAGCCUGCAGGGAGCGUGGCCCUGCCCACACCAUGAUCUCGGAUUUCUGGCCCCAGAACUGAGAGAGAAUAAAUUUCUCUGUUUAA